GAUGAAGAACGUAGCGAAAUGCGAUAAGUAAUGUGAAUUGCAGAAUUCAGUGAAUCAUCGAAUCUUUGAACGCACAUUGCACUCAUUAGUAUUCUAGUGAGUAUGCCUGUUCGAGCGUCAUUUCAACCCUUAAGCCUAGCUUAGUGUUGGGACUCUACCCUAACCGGUAGUUCCCCAAAAUCAGUUGGCGGAGUUCAGUCGGCUCUGAGUGUAGUAAUUUUCUCUCGCUUUAGAAGUCUUCUGGAUUACGGCCAGAAAGAGACGAGUCUCGCAUCUCGGUGCGUUUCUCAACUUUUUUUUACAAUGGUUGACCUCGGAUCAGGUAGGAAUACCCGCUGAACUUAAGCAUAUCAAAAGCGGAGGA
This 364-nucleotide unclassified non-coding RNA is filed under the name soil metagenome. RNAcentral describes it as "partial contains 5.8S ribosomal RNA, internal transcribed spacer 2, and large subunit ribosomal RNA". The stretch from base 1 to 120 matches the Rfam family "5.8S ribosomal RNA", at positions 35 to 154 of the family's 154-position model. The record is from RNAcentral.